Paenibacillus sp. DMB20 is the source of this 73-nucleotide non-coding RNA. The record is from Rfam. Lineage: Bacteria; Bacillati; Bacillota; Bacilli; Caryophanales; Paenibacillaceae.
GGGGCCUUAGCUCAGCUGGGAGAGCGCAUCGCUGGCAGCGAUGAGGUCAGGGGUUCGAUCCCCCUAGGCUCCA